GGGACCACAUUUCCUAGGUUGCCCUACGGCGGUACCUGUUGCACUUCCCUACCGCUUUGCCGGAUUGGGAGAAGGAAGGGUGCCGGUGAGGACCCGGUUUUAUUUGCCGGGAAAUGGAAAGGAAGUCUUUUGUAUUCACAACACCUUUAAGUGGAGGGAUGGGUAGUUCGAGGUAGAGAGAGUUCUUGGGAAAUGAACAACCAGGGAAGUAUUGGGCUGAGAAGGUUGGAAGGAGUUGUGGACCAAUGCGGGAAGACGAAGGAAAGAAAGGUUUGGGAUUUCCCUGUGGGCUCAGGGGAUUCCUCCCUGGUCUUUCCAGCCUCUCCGCUCUUCUUACUCGUUCCCUCCUCCCAACCAGGGCGGGGAUGCUGGAGGCAGCCUCUAGCUAGAACUGUCACUCCGGGAAAUGAGUUCAGUUUCUCUUCCGAUUCAUCUUUGCAACUCACUACAUAAAGGUCAAGAGAGCUGAGUCAUUUGGGAACCAGGGAAGGCGUGGGCUGCCAGGAGAAGGAGGGGCAGCCCGGGCCACCACCUGCUCCUGGGAAGAACGCUGAGAAUCCGACUGACUACCAUCAGAGCCAGUCAUGCUCUGUCUCCAGGUGAUGGAAACUGGAAACCAACAGAGUCUUGAAAAAUAUCCCGAAUCUCUUGUGGAUGCAAGCACCCACCUUAGUGGGAUGCAACUGAGCAAUGAACUCUUCCCCAGCAACAUCUAAAACAGGCAGUACUUUCUGCAACUAAGUCAGCUCAAGGAAAAUUGUUUUGGCAGCUGUGUAGAGAAUACAGUGGAAAGAGGAGAAGCUAAGAGUCCAAUUAGUAGGCUGUUGAAAAUCCACUGGAGAAGGAAAUGGCAAACCGCUCCAAUAUCUUUACCAAGAAAACCCCAUGGACAGCAUGCUGUAGCCCACAGGGUCAUGGAAAGUCUGACAAUGGCUGAGCAAUAAGAAGCAGCAGUAAUCUGGGGGAGGGGAUGAUUUUAGAAAGUCCUGGAAAGACUUACAUGAACUGAUGCUGAGUGAAAUGAGAAGACCAGGAAAUCCUUAUAUACCUCAACAACAAUACUAUAUGAUAAUCAGUUCUGAUGGACUUGGCCAUCUUCAGCAAAGAGAUGAACCAAAUCAGUUCCAAUAGAGCAGUAAUGAACUGAACCAGCUACACCCAGUGAAAGAACUCUGGUAGAUGACUAUGAACCACUACAUAGAAUUCCCAAUCCCUCUAUUUUUGUCCGUCCCAAUCCCGCUAUUUUUGUCCGCCUGCAUUUUUUAUUUCCUUCACAGGUUAAUUGUACACUAUUUCAAAGUCCAAUUCUUUUUGUACAGGAAAAUAACUGUUUGGACAUGUAUACUUAUAUUGUAUUUAAUUUAUACUUUAACAUAUUUAACAUGUAUUGGUCAACCUGCCAUCUGGGGGAGGGAGUGGGGGGAAGGAGGGGAAAAAUUGGAACAAAAGGUUUGGCAAUUGUCAAUGCUGUAAAAUUAUCCAUGCAAUAUAACUUGUAAAUAAAAAGCUAUAAUUUUAAAAAAAUUAAAACAAAUCAUAUUGAAAUAAAGUUAUCAAAAUAUUUUUAAAAAUAAAUUCACAAACCUUAGGUUAUUAAGACUUGUUCUACUGUCCAUCAUAAUACCUGGCUUUGGCAAAUGCAUAUUAAGCAUUUAUUGAAAUGAACUGAAAAGAAAUAUUUUUUUUAUUUUUACUAAAUCUUUUUUAUUUUCAAAAAAAAAAAGUGCAGUAUACAGCUGAGAAAAAGGCAUAUUCCUUUCUUUCUUAUUCAGUAAAUAUCAAAGGUCUAUCAUAUCUAACUUCUAAAAUUCUAUUCACUUG
Molecule: long non-coding RNA, 1821 nt
Organism: Sarcophilus harrisii (Tasmanian devil)
Lineage: Eukaryota; Metazoa; Chordata; Mammalia; Dasyuromorphia; Dasyuridae
Source: Ensembl